UAAACAUUGAUAGUACACCACAUAAACUAUCCGCCCGGGCACUACGAGCGCUAGCUUAAAACCCAAAGGACUUGGCGGUGCUUAAGAUCCACCUAGAGGAGCCUGUUCUAAAACCGAUAACCCCCGUUAAACCUCACCCCCUCUUGUUAUCCCAGCCUAUAUACCGCCGUCGUCAGCUUACCCUGUGAGGGUCUAAAAGUAAGCAGAAUUAGCAUAGCCCAAAACGUCAGGUCGAGGUGUAGCGCAUGAGGGGGGAAGAAAUGGGCUACAUUCCCUAAUAUAGGGAAUACGAAAGACAAAUUGAAAUAUUUACCAGAAGGAGGAUUUAGCAGUAAGCAGAGAACAGAGUGCUCCGCUGAAAUCGGCUCUAAGGCGCGCACACACCGCCCGUCACUCUCCCCGAAAAACAUUAAUCAACUUAACUAAAACCUAAGACACAUAGAGGGGAGGCAAGUCGUAACAUGGUAAGUGUACCGGAAGGUGCACUUGGAAAAAAUCAGAACAUAGCUAAACAAGAAAAGCAUCUCCCUUACACCGAGAAGUCAUCCGUGCAAAUCGGAUUGCUCUGACACUCAACAGCUAGCCCCCCCCCCCCCAAAAAGCACAACAUCCAUAUAAAAUAACCCCUAAUUAACUACACACCCACAAAACAAAUCAUUUUUCCUCCCUAGUAUGGGCGACAGAAAAGGACAAAGGAGCUAUAGAGAAAGUACCGCAAGGGAACGCUGAAAGAGAAAUGAAAUAAACCAGUAAAGUAUAAAAAAGCAGAGAUUUGAGCUCGUACCUUUUGCAUCAUGAUUUAGCCAGCAAAUUCAAGCAAAGAGCACUUAAGUUUGACACCCCGAAACUAAGUGAGCUACUCCAAGACAGCCUAACUAAAGGGCCAACCCGUCUCUGUGGCAAAAGAGUGGGAAGAGCUUUGAGUAGAGGUGACAGACCUACCGAACUUAGUUAUAGCUGGUUGCCUGAGAAUUGAAUAGGAGUUCAGCUUCUAGGCUUCUUAACUCAUAUCGGUAUCACCACCCCAGACUUUAAGAAACCAAGAAAGUUAGUCAAGGGGGGCACAGCCCCCUUGAAAAAGGACACAACCUUACCAGAUGGGUAUCGAUCAUAAUAUAACAAGGCAACAUACCCUAGUGGGCCUAAAAGCAGCCAUCUUAAUAGAAAGCGUUAAAGCUCAAGUACUAAUUUACAAGCCUAUUAUCCUGAUAAAAUAUUCCCAACCCUCUAACCCCUACCAGGCCAUCCCAUGCAAACAUGGAAGAGACCAUGCUAAUAUGAGUAAUAAGAGAACACUCCUUCUCUCCGCGCACACAUGUAAAUCGGAACGGACCCCCCACCGAAUAUUAACCGGCCCCAAGACAAAGAGGGAACUGAAAAACAAAAUAAAAUACAAGAAAAACCCCCACUAAAUCAACCGUUUAACCCACACUGGUGUGCAUACUAGGAAAGACUAAAAGAAAAAGAAGGAACUCGGCAAACACAUAAAGCCUCGCCUGUUUACCAAAAACACCGCCUCUUGCAAACAAAAAAUAAGAGGUCUUGCCUGCCCUGUGACAUAAACUGUUUAACGGCCGCGGUAUCCUGACCGUGCAAAGGUAGCGCAAUCACUUGUCUUUUAAAUGAAGACCUGUAUGAAUGGCAUAACGAGGGCUAAGCUGUCUCCUUUUUCCAGUCAAUGAAAUUGAUCUCCCCGUGCAGAAGCGGGGAUAACCACAUAAGACGAGAAGACCCUAUGGAGCUUUAGACACCAAACAGAUUUUGUAAAACCUCCCCCCUCAUACGGGAACGAACAAAAAAACACCUGUCCUAAUGUCUUUGGUUGGGGCGACCGCGGGGAAACAAAAAACCCCCACGUGGAACGGAGACACCUUCCCCUGAAAUAAGAGUUACAACUCUAACUAGCAGAACUUCUGACCUUAUGAUCCGGCACACGCCGAUCAACGAACCGAGUUACCCUAGGGAUAACAGCGCAAUCCUCUUUUAGAGCCCAUAUCGACAAGAGGGUUUACGACCUCGAUGUUGGAUCAGGACAUCCUAAUGGUGCAGCCGCUAUUAAGGGUUCGUUUGUUCAACGAUUAAAGUCCU
RNAcentral lists this unclassified non-coding RNA (2088 nucleotides) under Nandus nandus. Its description in RNAcentral is "partial contains 12S small subunit ribosomal RNA, tRNA-Val, and 16S large subunit ribosomal RNA". The stretch from base 644 to 2088 matches the Rfam family "Bacterial large subunit ribosomal RNA", at positions 1 to 2597 of the family's 2925-position model. The record is from RNAcentral. Lineage: Eukaryota; Metazoa; Chordata; Actinopteri; Anabantiformes; Nandidae.